RNAcentral lists this ribosomal RNA (1491 nucleotides) under uncultured bacterium. RNAcentral's name for it is "bacterial SSU rRNA". It matches the Rfam family "Bacterial small subunit ribosomal RNA". The record is from RNAcentral.
GAGAGUUUGAUCCUGGCUCAGGAUGAACGCUAGCUACAGGCUUAACACAUGCAAGUCGAGGGGCAGCAUGGUCUUAGCUUGCUAAGGCCGAUGGCGACCGGCGCACGGGUGAGUAACACGUAUCCAACCUGCCGUCUACUCUUGGACAGCCUUCUGAAAGGAAGAUUAAUACAAGAUGGCAUCAUGAGUCCGCAUGUUCACAUGAUUAAAGGUAUUCCGGUAGACGAUGGGGAUGCGUUCCAUUAGAUAGUAGGCGGGGUAACGGCCCACCUAGUCUUCGAUGGAUAGGGGUUCUGAGAGGAAGGUCCCCCACAUUGGAACUGAGACACGGUCCAAACUCCUACGGGAGGCAGCAGUGAGGAAUAUUGGUCAAUGGGCGAGAGCCUGAACCAGCCAAGUAGCGUGAAGGAUGACUGCCCUAUGGGUUGUAAACUUCUUUUAUAAAGGAAUAAAGUCGGGUAUGGAUACCCGUUUGCAUGUACUUUAUGAAUAAGGAUCGGCUAACUCCGUGCCAGCAGCCGCGGUAAUACGGAGGAUCCGAGCGUUAUCCGGAUUUAUUGGGUUUAAAGGGAGCGUAGAUGGAUGUUUAAGUCAGUUGUGAAAGUUUGCGGCUCAACCGUAAAAUUGCAGUUGAUACUGGAUAUCUUGAGUGCAGUUGAGGCAGGCGGAAUUCGUGGUGUAGCGGUGAAAUGCUUAGAUAUCACGAAGAACUCCGAUUGCGAAGGCAGCCUGCUAAGCUGCAACUGACAUUGAGGCUCGAAAGUGUGGGUAUCAAACAGGAUUAGAUACCCUGGUAGUCCACACGGUAAACGAUGAAUACUCGCUGUUUGCGAUAUACUGCAAGCGGCCAAGCGAAAGCGUCAAGUAUUCCACCUGGGGAGUACGCCGGCAACGGUGAAACUCAAAGGAAUUGACGGGGGCCCGCACAAGCGGAGGAACAUGUGGUUUAAUUCGAUGAUACGCGAGGAACCUUACCCGGGCUUAAAUUGCAGAUGAAUUACGGUGAAAGCCGUAAGCCGCAAGGCAUCUGUGAAGGUGCUGCAUGGUUGUCGUCAGCUCGUGCCGUGAGGUGUCGGCUUAAGUGCCAUAACGAGCGCAACCCUUGUUGUCAGUUACUAACAGGUUCUGCUGAGGACUCUGACAAGACUGCCAUCGUAAGAUGUGAGGAAGGUGGGGAUGACGUCAAAUCAGCACGGCCCUUACGUCCGGGGCUACACACGUGUUACAAUGGGGGGUACAGAGGGCCGCUACCACGCGAGUGGAUGCCAAUCCCAAAAACCUCUCUCAGUUCGGACUGGAGUCUGCAACCCGACUCCACGAAGCUGGAUUCGCUAGUAAUCGCGCAUCAGCCACGGCGCGGUGAAUACGUUCCCGGGCCUUGUACACACCGCCCGUCAAGCCAUGGGAGCCGGGGGUACCUGAAGUGCGUAACCGCGAGGAGCGCCCUAGGGUAAAACUGGUGACUGGGGCUAAGUCGUAACAAGGUAGCCG